CGGCAGCGACGCUGAUGCGUUGUUGGGUAGGGGAGCGUUCUGUAAGCCUGCGAAGGUGUGCUGUGAGGCAUGCUGGAGGUAUCAGAAGUGCGAAUGCUGACAUAAGUAACGAUAAAGCGGGUGAAAAUCCCGCUCGCCGGAAGACCAAGGGUUCCUGUCCAACGUUAAUCGGGGCAGGGUGAGUCGACCCCUAAGGCGAGGCCGAAAGGCGUAGUCGAUGGGAAACAGGUUAAUAUUCCUGUACUUGGUGUUACU
Molecule: ribosomal RNA, 255 nt
Filed under: Escherichia coli
Lineage: Bacteria; Pseudomonadati; Pseudomonadota; Gammaproteobacteria; Enterobacterales; Enterobacteriaceae
Description: partial 23S ribosomal RNA
Rfam family: Bacterial large subunit ribosomal RNA
Source: RNAcentral